UUUUAUUUUCCGCCUGUUUUAACGCAUUCAGUAAGUUAUAUCUAGCUGUUGUCUGUCCUCGCGGCAGCUGAUCGCUUUUACCGACAAAUGCAGCAGCGCGCAGUGUCCUCCGGCAAACGGCCGCGUGUGUAACGCUGGCGUGCCUAACAGAAACCUCUCCAGGCGCUUUCUGAAAACAAGGGUGUGUCCUCGGUUAAAGGCCAUUUUAGGCGGACAACCUCAUUUGUAUUCUGUUGAUAAAAUAUGCCUGGCAAUCGAUUAUCUACAUAAAUUAUCUUCGCGGUUCUGUGACUUAUAGCAUAUCACGUAUACUGGGGCCUGUAUUCUGUCAGGAUCGCUGUGUAUACCACAGACCAGGGUAGUGAUCGGAUAUAAAAGGUUUUUCUCGAUAUUUGUUAUUAUUGACUGCAGUAUGAAAACUACCUCCUUGACCACUCCCGAUAAAAUGACAAAAACGACUCAUGAUCUUCAAAUAAUGUCACAGCUGAAAUACAGGAUAUAAUUCUCCGUAGUUUGGCUACUCAUUUGUGCUCAAAGUGGGGCCACAAAUCUUUCAUUGUUAUUGUUAAUUUAGUGAUAUUGUAAUCCCUCACAGUGUUUUGUGUGCAAUCAAAUUUAAAUAACAGUAGAGUGAAUGACAGCACCACCCCACCCCCCAUUAUUCCUGUACUUGUUUAUACAUCUAUAGCACUGGUUGAAGUCUUAACAUUUGUUACACAUUUUCCUUAUAUUUCAUUUAUUUCUGUGUUGGCAUUAUUUCACUCAACUGGUGAACUUGAGCUCCAAUGACCUGGAGCAUUUUUCUGUUCAAUUUUCGUAGCUCUAAAAACAUAUUUGAAAAAUAUUUACUUCUAUAAUGAUAAACAGUAUUUCUGCUUGAGGCAAUUCGGGCGUUGUGUUUAACUGAGCUGGUGUUCCACUGCUUAAUUAAGAUAACUUCAUCUUACUUAGCUUCAGUGAAGAGAUGCGCUAUGUUUGAGGGAUGCAGCUUCCUGACUGCGAAAAAUGUUUUUGUUGUUUUUUCAGUUACCAUUAAAUUUUUUUUAAAAGCUCAUUUUUAAAAGAUCUGUUUUGUUCUUAACAGAAUUCUUUAUAUUUUAUUUUUGCAGUAACUUCUUACAAGUCACAGAACCCCAAAAUGAGUCAACACAAUAAGCUUGAUCUUCAAAGUUAAAGCAUGACUUGAAUUUCCAUCAUAUUCAGACUCAGAACUUUUGUGCCGAGUUGCAUCACGUUAGGAUUUUAUUUUGUCUGUCGUAUGCCCUAGUAAUAUCACCCAGAACCUACAAAUCAGUAUCUCAAAAAACGGGAAAGGGCGAUCGUUCAGGCUGUAAAAGUACAAAUUCUCCUCAGGAGCUUGUCAAACCCGAUCAAGCAUUUUCUUGUGUUUGUAAACCAAACAGUCUAUCUUGUAAACAGAUGACAGCGCGUAACUGGUGACAGAAAGUCACAACGUGGCGGUGUUUAGUGUCAGAUUAUAGGAAUAUGGAUUAUACGGACGCCCUCUCGAGUUAAUGGUUUGCCAUCAGAAUACACGGUGGUACACAACCAGUCGUGAUCGACAGAUUGAUCUCCUAUAUCGGUCAUAUUAGCCGUGUAAUGUAACAUGACUGCCGUAGCCAUUUACAAUACCUGCGUCCUUUUCACUUGUGCUUGUUGUAGAUAGCUAGCUACUUAUUUAUGAUUAUUUAAACUAUUCUCUUUCUCUAAUUAAAGUUGAGUAAAAAAUGGCUGGUAAGUUACAGUGGCCGGAUAUCUUCAUUCACUUUGUGGAAAAAUCCAGGGUCUAUAUGAAAGAAAAUGUAAGGCAUAAAUUACUAAUUUUGUUCCAUACUAUUUUAACCUUAGCGGGCUACCCAAGAGAUUUUUUGGAUGAUUUUUGCAUAUUAUGGAUCGACGUACUAUCCAGUGACAAAGGACAGAAAAUGCAGCUAUACAAGGGCUAUCAACUAUACUGACGGCGAACUGAAUUUACAUGGCCAUAUUAUCUAAAUAGCCAACUCUUUUUCAUUGUGUAAUGUAGGCCUAUGUUGGAACAAUGUAAUUAACUAGAACUACUAGAACAUUAUUAUAUACAUAUAGAUGGUAGUGGGAAUAGUAGUUCUAUUCCCACUACCAUCUAUAUGUAUAUAAUAAUGUUAUUUAUAGUUAUAGGUCUAUUUCAUGCUGUAAGGCUAAUGUAGGGAUAAUAAAAAAAAGUGUCAGUUAGCUUCCAAACAUUUGUAUUUUGCCUUACCCUCUUCGGUGAUGGUAUUCUAUCAAAAUUAAGGUCAUUUGUUUUUUUUUCAUUCCUAUUCUAGAACUCGAAGCAGUGACGUAACCAUGACGAAUAGGUUUAUUAAGACCUCCAAAUAGGUCUAUUAAGUAGUACCACAUCUGUUGAGAGACUGCCCCCAAAAAGAAAAAUUUAUUUAUCAAUUACUGUGUAAUUUUAACCAUUCAAUUAAAAAUUGCAUAUAGAAAGAGGAUAAAUACUCAGUCAACCAUUCAAGUUGGUAGGCCUAGGUCGAACCUACUGAGCAGAGAGCACAAGCAAGUCAAAGUACAGCGUUCUGGAUUUUACCAAGAAAUGAGCAACGUCUCGCUGGAAGUCACUUUUGUAAGUAAGUUACUGAAUGACUAACAUUUUACCAUCAGUAAAGAAUAAUGAACAAAAUUUGUUACUUACAACUGGACAACGAUACCCGAGCAAUGUAAAUUAAAAUGCUAUUUCUGUAAACCGCUUUAGCUAACCAGCUAGCUAACUAGUUUUGUACAAUUAUCUAGCUAGCUAGCUGACUUAGAUGUUCUUGUUUUCAGUCAUAAUGUGCUAUGUUACACACAUUCUAUUGUCAUCAAAGAUCUGUGCCACUUGACAAAUUUGACAAAAACAGCUUUUAUGUGUUACGGGAUGCGACCCCCGCCCCCUCAAGUCACGAAGGUACGGCCUGCAGCGUGCUGGGGGGGGGGGGGGGGGUGUUUCACAUGUGUAGCCACGCCCUCUGUGAUGGCACACACCUGCGCGGGGUUCAGCGUUCUGUCUAUUUAAAGCCCCGUCUGUGUGUGCCUCGUAGUUGGUCAUUGUUGAUGUCGUUUAUGUUAACGCUGCCUAGGUUGUUGUCACGGUUAGUGUUUAAACUGUGUGUUCAUGUUCAUCGUUGUCACUAUGUGUGAGUGCUGCCGUUAUUGUAUAUGUUUUAUGUUAUUAAAUGUCUCAUUACGUCAAGGGAGUCUGUGCGUCCUGUGGCCGCACUGUGCGGCCACGCCCUGCGGCUGCGCCCUGCGGCACUUGGGCUGCCAUUACAGAAUGACCAACCACCACAGGACACAAGCUCCCUUGGCGAAGGACGGACUUCCUAAGGGGAAGUGGAGGGGAACACUGCUGAGGCUACUGUGCCCCACAAGGACCGUAAAGAGGGCAAUUUGGUGGAGCCAGUGGGAUCUCCGGUGGGCAGGGCUGAAACCCGAGUUCCUUCCCUUCUGUGGAGUCACCAGCAAGACUGGAGGGGUCUGCCCAGAGCCUCUGAAGCAAACCGCCUCUGGGACACUCCUAGAGUGGCUGGAAGAAGGAGGACCGUUCGGGGGAGGAGCAUGACCGGAACUGGGGCGGGCGUGCACUCCCAUGUCUCCGUUGGGGCCAGGGACACGUUUACAGCACUUGCGCUGAUAGCAGGCACUGCAGCCCAGCGCCUUAUGUGUUUGUGUGGAGGCACUUCUCUUUGUGUAUAUUUGCGCCUUUUGUGUGUUUGCAGGGACAGCGUCACGUUGCGAAGAGUGUACCGGACUGCCCUGAAGGAGGCAGAGAUCCUGCCUUCCUCCCUCCUGUUGAGAGGUCUUCCGGGGUUGGCGGUUCCUAGCCCGUCUUGUGUUGGGUGGGCACCGGACAUUGCCGUGCUCUGUUUGUUUGUACACGGUGGCCUGGGGCUCGCAGUCCUGGGAAAUAUGCGUCCGGAGCUGUGCCCCUUGGGAGGGGGUUCUGUCACGGGUUCCUGUUCCGCACCCUGCGGCACACGGGCUGCCGUUACAUUAUGACAUCUUGUGAUGUUGGAAUAAUCAUUUAUAAUGUUUUUGUAUGGUGAAUAUUUAUGAAGUGGGACACUUAAGCUUGAUCCACAGUUUCUUCAUGUACUUGUUUUUUACUGAUCGAAACCUAUUGUUUAAUUAAUCUUUGGGAUGUCAGGGAUUAGAUGGUUAAAGCUAUGUAGAUAUGAUUUCAUUUUCAGGGGCAUGGCCGCAACCACUUAAAAAUCAAGAGCAUAAGAAGCUAUGAUAAUUGAAAUGACAUAACAAUCUGAGGUAAAUGAUGUUAAGGGUAAGAAAAGCUAAAGAUUGAUUUAGUGUUUUUAAAUUUUAUACAUAUGAAAGGUGACUGAACAGUACCAGAAAAUAAAAUAAAAAAAUGUUUUUCUUGUAAAUAACUUUUUAGGGGGUACAUUUUCUUCUGUCCCACACCAUAUUUGUUAAAGUUGAAUAGUAAAUUAAUGGUAUUACUCCUUCCAAAACUUGGUUUGACUUUGACCUUUGUACAUAUAUUGUGUAAAUACUUUAAAUUAACAGUUCUUGUAAUGAAUCAGACUGGCUCUACUCAAGUUGCCACGCCCAGGUAGUUGAUUUCCGAAUAGAGCUGAAGACAGCACAGAUCUGAUUCUCUGGAAUAUUAACCUGUUUCCUAUAUCUCCACUCAUCAAGCAUGAUAUCACUCCCACAACCUUGCUGCGAAGUAUUGGCAAUGGUAUGCUAAGUGCUGUCUUCUGUGUAUUCCUACUGUUAACAACCAGUCAUGACACAUCAAAGCAGUCCUGACACAGCUAAAGCAGAGAAGUGUGAGUUUCACCAAGAAUCAGUAAACGUCCUAGGAUGUACAGGCUCACCCGGCAGGAUCUUAACAGACUCCAAUAAGGUCUCUGGAGAAUUGGCCUGUUCCUACAUCUGUUAAAGAGCCCCAAAGAUUGUUGGGCUUCGCAGAGGUUCAUUAGAGACUUUGGUACUAUCACUGUCCUUUUUACAGACUUGCUCUAGAACCAAAGCUAAGGUAGAUUGAUGUAGAACCCUAUUUGAGGACGAAUGAGCGUUUCACUAUUUAAAGAAAGUUUUGAAUGCUCUAAUUCUGCACCAGUCUGACUGUUCCUUGCCUUUCAUUCAAGGAAGUUGACACAUCUGAGAUCGGGGUGAGAGCUGUGCUCUCCCAGAGACAGGGCUUAGCUCCCAAGCUAUACUCGAUGUCUUUUCCUUUCCAAGAAACUCCAAGCAGCAGAAUACAAUUACAAUGUGGGUAACAGCAAACGCCUGGCCGUUAAACUAGCACUAGAGCAGUGGACACACUGUCUUGCGGGAGCAAGACAUCCAUUGCUAGUUUUGACUGACCAUAAGAAUUUUGAGUACUUAAAAGCAGCAAAAAGGUUAAACCCUAGGCAAGCUAAAUGGGUCUUCUUUUUCUGGUAUUUUCAGUUCAUGGUUUCCUAUAGACCUGGUUCUCAAAACCAGAAGACAGAUUUCCAUGACAUUUAUAUGUCUUUAGCAUAAACGGCUUGCCAGAAGAGAUUGUCUCAGAUUAAAGUUCUCAGGUCACAUUCGAUGUGUGGAAACAAUUCUGCAAGUGUCUAGGAGUCAGAGUGAACUUGUCAUCUAGGCACCAUCCACAAUCUAUUGGGGAAGUCAAAAGAACAAAGCAAGAAUCAGGAAUCUCUGGCAUUACUGCUCCUCACAGGCGAAUUGGCACAAGUAUCUACCCUGGGAUGAGUAUGCGAUAAACUCAUUUACUCUUCCUCAAAACUCACCCCCUUCCAGUGUGUCUGUGAAUAUCAGCCAGAAUUUUUACCCUGGGAAGAGACUGCCAUGGACAUCCCCGCCUUAGACCACUGCUUUAAGAAGUGUGAGGAAACCAGGGAGGCUGUGCACGUUCAGCUGAACAGGGCAGUGUGAUGCCAGCAGGAGUUCGCCAACCGACACUGUUGCCCUGCUUCAACAUAACAUCCAGGCCGGGGGGUGUGGGUGUCUACACUGAACAUGCGAUUCCAAUUCCAGGGCUAGAAGCUUCAUCCUCAUUACGUGGACCCUUCAGAGUGGUGGCACAAAUCUCUCCAGUAUAUUAUUUUGUUCAAAUCCCCCAGGCAUUUCUCUGUGAAUCCCACAUUCCAUGUCUCCCUUCUGGAUUGGUUUAAAAUCUGAUUGCUAGUGUCUGAUCCUUGAAUUGUUCUACUUGUGAGUAAACUUGACUGUGAUUGUAUCCAAACUCUCGUCUGAUUCUGUAACGAUUCUGCUGGCCUGAGUACUGAAGGGCAUGGAGCAGGAUGCACAGACUCCCUCGAUAAAGUGAUACAUUUAUUAAAAUAACAUAUGAAUAACA
This is a non-coding RNA of Electrophorus electricus (electric eel), 6325 nucleotides long. The record is from RefSeq and is a predicted model, not a curated record. Lineage: Eukaryota; Metazoa; Chordata; Actinopteri; Gymnotiformes; Gymnotidae.